RNAcentral lists this transfer RNA (87 nucleotides) under Ruegeria sp. HKCCD5849. RNAcentral describes it as "tRNA-Lys". Lineage: Bacteria; Pseudomonadati; Pseudomonadota; Alphaproteobacteria; Rhodobacterales; Roseobacteraceae. RNAcentral also lists the same sequence under 2 other names. The record is from RNAcentral.
GAGAUUGGUGGCGAUUACGGUAACACCCUGAAGUGCUUCUGACUUUUAAUCAGUGGGUCGCAGGUUCGAAUCCUGCACGGCUCACCA